AUUGAACGCUGGCGGCAUGCUUUACACAUGCAAGUCGAACGGCAGCGCGGGCUUCGGCCUGGCGGCGAGUGGCGAACGGGUGAGUAAUACAUCGGAACGUGCCCAGUAGUGGGGGAUAGCUCGGCGAAAGCCGGAUUAAUACCGCAUACGACCUGAGGGUGAAAGCGGGGGAUCUUCGGACCUCGCGCUAUUGGAGCGGCCGAUGGCAGAUUAGCUAGUUGGUGGGGUAAAGGCCUACCAAGGCGACGACCUGUAGCUGGUCUGAGAGGACGACCAGCCACACGGGGACUGAGACACGGCCCAGACUCCUACGGGAGGCAGCAGUGGGGAAUUUUGGACAAUGGGCGAAAGCCUGAUCCAGCAAUGCCGCGUGUGUGAUGAAGGCCUUCGGGUUGUAAAGCACUUUUGGCGGGAACGAAAAGGACUGUGCCAAUACCACGGUUCGAUGACGGUACCCGCAGAAUAAGCACCGGCUAACUACGUG
Molecule: ribosomal RNA, 484 nt
Filed under: uncultured bacterium
Lineage: Bacteria
Description: partial 16S ribosomal RNA
Rfam family: Bacterial small subunit ribosomal RNA
Source: RNAcentral